This 1191-nucleotide ribosomal RNA is filed under the name Chara braunii. RNAcentral's name for it is "SSU rRNA". The record is from RNAcentral. Lineage: Eukaryota; Viridiplantae; Streptophyta; Charophyceae; Charales; Characeae.
NNNNNGUUAAAAAGCUCGUAGUUGGAUUUUGGGUGGGAGGGGUUGGUCCGCUCUUCCGGGCGUGUACCGGCCCUUUCGCCCUUCUUGCCGGGUAUGUGUUCCUUGCCUUUAUUGGCUGGGAUCCAGAGCCGGCGUUGUUACUUUGAAAAAAUUAGAGUGUUCAAAGCAGGUCUGUGCUCUAAACAUAUUAGCAUGGAAUAACGCGAUAGGACUCUGGUCCUAUUUCGUUGGUCUUCGGGAUUGGAGUAAUGAUUAAUAGAGACGGUUGGGGGCAWUCGUAUUCCAUUGUCAGAGGUGAAAUUCUUGGAUUUAUGGAUGACGAACUUCUGYGAAAGCAUUUGCCAAGGACGUUCUCAUUAAUCAAGAACGAAAGUUGGGGGAUCGAAGAUGAUCAGAUACCGUCCUAGUCUCAACCAUAAACGAUGCCGAUUAGGGAUUGGCGGAUGUCUAUUGGAUGACUCUGCCAGCACCUUGUGAAAAAUCAAAGUUUAUGGGUUCCGGGAGAGUAUGGUCGCAAGGCUGAAACUUAAAGGAAUUGACGGAARGGCACCACCAGGCGUGGAGCCUGCGGCUUAAUUUGACUCAACACGGGGAAACUCACCAGGUCCAGACAUAGCAAGGAUUGACAGAUUGAGAGCUCUUUCUUGAUUCUAUCGGUGGUGGUGCAUGGCCGUUCUUAGUUGGUGGAGUGAUUUGUCUGGUUAAUUCCGUUAACGGACGAGACCUCAGCCUGCUAAAUAGCUACGCGGGAACCUUUCCUCGUGGCCAGCUUCUUAGAGGGACUGUUGGACGACAAGCCAACGGAAGUUUGAGGCAAUAACAGGUAUGUGAUGCCCUGAGAUGUUCUGGGCUGCACGCGCGCUACACUGAUGAAUCCAACGAGUCGCUUGCCUGGGUCGAAAGGCCCGGGUAACCUUCUUAAGGUUCAUCGUGACGGGGAUAGAUUGUUGUAAUUAUCGAUCUUGAACGAGGAAUGCCUAGUAAGCGCGAGUCAUCAGCUCGCGCUGAUUAUGUCCCUGCCCUUUGUACACACCACCCGUCGCUCCUACCGAUUGAAUGGUCCAAUGAAGUGUCUGGAUUGUGGUGAUCUCGGCGGUUUGCCGCUGGGGGUGCUGUGAGAAGUUCAUUGAACCUUAUCAUUUAGAGGAAGGAGAAGUCGUUACAAGGUUUCCGUAGGUGAACCUGCGGAAG